GGAGCGGUCCAGGUGAACGCUGGCGUCUCGAACGCGAGAGGAAAGUCCGAGCUCCACAGGGCGCGAUGCUGGCUAACGGCCAGGCGGGGCGACCCGACGGAAAGUGCCACAGAAAACAGACCGCCCACGGCCGCCUUCGGGCGUCCAGGCAAGGGUGAAAAGGUGCGGUAAGAGCGCACCGCGGCGACAGCGAUGUCACCGGCACGGAAAACCCCAUCUGGAGCAAGAGCAAAUAGGGAGACACGGACGCCUUCGAGGCGCCCUUUCGGUUGCCCGCCGAACGUCUCCGGGUUGGCUCGCUCGAGGUCCAGAGCAAUCUGGACCCUAGAGGAAUGUUCAUCACCCCGACGGCCUUCACGGGUCGCCGGGGGACAAAACUCGGCUUACGGACCACUCCGAAU
RNAcentral lists this RNase P RNA (401 nucleotides) under Myxococcales bacterium. Its description in RNAcentral is "RNase P RNA component class A". It matches the Rfam family "Bacterial RNase P class A". Rfam says of the family: Ribonuclease P (RNase P) is a ubiquitous endoribonuclease, found in archaea, bacteria and eukarya as well as chloroplasts and mitochondria. Its best characterised activity is the generation of mature 5'-ends of tRNAs by cleaving the 5'-leader elements of precursor-tRNAs. The record is from RNAcentral. Lineage: Bacteria; Pseudomonadati; Myxococcota; Myxococcia; Myxococcales.